Molecule: long non-coding RNA, 759 nt
Filed under: Brassica napus (rape)
Lineage: Eukaryota; Viridiplantae; Streptophyta; Magnoliopsida; Brassicales; Brassicaceae
Description: long non-coding RNA (BNAP_LNC026793)
Source: RNAcentral
UAUUUAUAAAUUAAAAUAGAAUUACAAUUAAAAUUCAGUUUACAAAACUAAACCAGAAUUAACAAAAAAUUAAACCAUCACAUCUACCCAAAUCGGUUUACACUAAACCAAAUCUUAAAAAAAAAUUAAACCUAAAAAAAAGACAGCCUCCACAAGCCUUCCUCUUCCAGCCGCAAUGAGAUUUGUCACUGUCAUGAACUGUCGUAAACCACCGCAUCCUUCCUCCUCCGGCUCUACCUUCUCACUAUCUUCCUAUGUAUUCUCUCGAUCUCCUUCUCCAUCGAUGACUUUUGGUGACAGAGCGAGCUUGAGACCGUUGAUGACGGAGCGAGCUCGAGACAAGUGACGACGGAGCGAGUUCGAGAUGGUGACGACGGAGCGAGCUCGAGAUGAUGACGACGGGCGAGACGGUGCGAUCUUGAGACCGGUGACCAUGACGACGGCGACAUGUUCAGACUUAUCAAAAGAGACACAAAGAAAGUGGUGGUGAUGAGCGUGACGGCUCCUGGUAGAGAAAAGGAGAAGGAUGUGGAGUAGUGACCUUUGAACGAUGGAGGUUUGGUGGUGACAGAUGAGACACCUUUCAAAAAAUUGGAGAUAUCAGAGAGAGAGAGAGAGAGAGAGAGAGAGAGGAAGGAGCAGGAUGAAACACAGAGUAGAUAUAUUUGUGAAUCUGGUAGAGAGAGAGAGAGAGAGAGGCAAGAGGAAUCUGGACCCUUCAAAAUAUUUAAUCAAUGGUCAAUAUUAGCUAUCCUCACC